CGGACGGGUGAGUAACGCGUGAGAAUCUGCCUUCAGGUCGGGGACAACCACUGGAAACGGUGGCUAAUACCCGAUGUGCGCAACGUGAAAGAUUUAUCGCCUGAAGAGGAGCUCGCGUCUGAUUAGCUAGUUGGUGAGGUAAAAGCUCACCAAGGCGACGAUCAGUAGCUGGUCUGAGAGGAUGAUCAGCCACACUGGGACUGAGACACGGCCCAGACUCCUACGGGAGGCAGCAGUGGGGAAUUUUCCGCAAUGGGCGAAAGCCUGACGGAGCAAGACCGCGUGAGGGAGGAAGGCUCUUGGGUUGUAAACCUCUUUUCUCAGGGAAGAACACAAUGACGGUACCUGAGGAAUCAGCCUCGGCUAACUCCGUGCCAGCAGCCGCGGUAAUACGGAGGAGGCAAGCGUUAUCCGGAAUUAUUGGGCGUAAAGCGUCCGUAGGUGGUCAUGUAAGUCGGUCGUCAAAGCACAGGGCUUAACCCUGUAAUGGCGGUGGAAACUGCACGACCAGAGAGAGGUAGGGGUAGAGGGAAUUCCCAGUGUAGCGGUGAAAUGCGUAGAGAUUGGGAAGAACAUCGGUGGCGAAAGCGCUCUACUGGACCUCAUCUGACGCUGAUGGACGAAAGCUAGGGGAGCGAAUGGGAUUAGAUACCCCAGUAGUC
Molecule: ribosomal RNA, 662 nt
Filed under: uncultured cyanobacterium
Lineage: Bacteria; Bacillati; Cyanobacteriota
Description: bacterial SSU rRNA
Rfam family: Bacterial small subunit ribosomal RNA
Source: RNAcentral